GAUGAAGAACGUAGCGAAAUGCGAUAAGUAAUGUGAAUUGCAGAAUUCAGUGAAUCAUCGAAUCUUUGAACGCAUCUUGCGCUCCUUGGUAUUCUGAGGAGCAUGCCUGUUUGAGUGUCAUUAAAUUCUCAACUACACUGACUUUGAAUUGGUGUGGCUUGGAUUUGGGGGGAAAAUUGUUGUGGGCUUUUUGUAUAGUCUGCUCCCCUGAAAUUGAUUAGCGGUACCUUUGUGGAACUGUCUACAGGUGUGAUAAUUAUCUACAUCUUAGACAUCUGCUGGAAUGCUGCUUUCUAAACCUUACUUGUAUUGACAAUCUUGACCUCAAAUCAGGUAGGACUACCCGCUGAACUUAAGCAUAUCAAUAAGCGGAGGA
This 376-nucleotide unclassified non-coding RNA is filed under the name soil metagenome. RNAcentral describes it as "partial contains 5.8S ribosomal RNA, internal transcribed spacer 2, and large subunit ribosomal RNA". The stretch from base 1 to 120 matches the Rfam family "5.8S ribosomal RNA", at positions 35 to 154 of the family's 154-position model. The record is from RNAcentral.